This 253-nucleotide ribosomal RNA is filed under the name uncultured bacterium. RNAcentral describes it as "partial 16S ribosomal RNA". It matches the Rfam family "Bacterial small subunit ribosomal RNA", at positions 524 to 776 of the family's 1533-position model. The record is from RNAcentral.
UACGAAGGGGGCUAGCGUUGCUCGGAAUCACUGGGCGUAAAGGGUGCGUAGGCGGGUCUUUAAGUCAGGGGUGAAAUCCUGGAGCUCAACUCCAGAACUGCCUUUGAUACUGAGGAUCUUGAGUUCGGGAGAGGUGAGUGGAACUGCGAGUGUAGAGGUGAAAUUCGUAGAUAUUCGCAAGAACACCAGUGGCGAAGGCGACUUACUGGACACAUAUUGACGCUGAGGUGCGAAAGCGUGGGGAGCAAACAGG